Molecule: transfer RNA, 29 nt
Filed under: Canis lupus (wolf)
Lineage: Eukaryota; Metazoa; Chordata; Mammalia; Carnivora; Canidae
Description: partial tRNA-Pro
Source: RNAcentral
AGGGAAUAGUUUAAGAAGAAUUUCAGCUU